UCCUCGUUGCCUGUCCGCCAUCUUUACUGGGGGCAGCUUCCGGCGUGAGGCGGUCCGCAGGUUGAAGGCGUGGUGUUUCCGGAUUAGUUCACCCGCGGCAGGGAAACGGAAAGAGACAUCGGUCCUCGGGGACACUGCUCUGGUGGAGUCUCCUGCUGAGCCAUCUGGGAAGCCCAACAAAGGAAGAGAACAUGGGAUUUGAUGUUGAACAGACCCAAGUUCAAACCCUAUCUCUUGCAUUUGGCAACUGGAUACUGCCCAAGAAGACAGAAUGCAGAAGAGCCCAUCUCCCCUGAGUUCUCUAAGCCCUUGUCCCUGAGUUGCUCUCUUGAGCCCAAGGCAGGGAGCCUAGAAGCUCCCAUCCAGGGAUGGACACGGCGUGCUCGAGAUGUGGAUGGUGUACCGUGGGACCUCCCUUUCUGUAAGAAAAAAGGGAAUCAAGUUGACCAAUGUAGGUAACAUAACUUAGUAAUGAGAGGUUCUAAUAUGAAGGUUCUUUUCAAGGGUGUGUUAGGAAUGUAAUGACAAAGAAAAAAGAACUCCAAGAAUGCCACAGAUUGAAAAGAAGAAUAAUCAUAAACUGCUGGUGGGAGUAUAAACUGUCACAAUCUUUCUGGGAGGUACUGUCAAUAAGUAUCAAACACUUUAAAAAGUAUGUUUCUUUUACUCAGAAUUUUCACUUUGAGAAACUAUCCCAAAGAAAUAGUUAACAAUCCCUGUGAUGAUAUAUACAAGAUGUUUAAAUCACUAUCCUUUACCAUAUCAGAAAGUUACAACUAACCCAAAUUUGUGCAGUAAUAAUGGAUUUGUUAUUUUCUAAUAUGUUCAAAUGGGGCCUCCAAAGAAAUACUGUGUAGCCACAAAACAUGAUGCUUUCAACCUUCUUUGUGCUUCAGACCCACCUGGAGAGAACUAAAGAAAUAUAAAAACAUGACCUCGACCUGAGAGAUCCGGAUUCAUUUGGUUUGGAAAGGGCUUGGGUGCUUCUUUUUCUGCUGCGGGGCAACCUUAUAGUAUAUAUGCCAUUUUGCAUCCACGUGAGCACAGUCAGUUCUCUCCAUUCGCGGAUUCCGAAUUUGUGAACCUGCUGACAUCUGUUGGUAACCCCAGAGUUGCAUACCCAUGAUGCUUUCACUGACAUUUGAUAGCACACACAGCAUCAAAAACCUGAGUCCCUCUCCCAGCUGAGGUUGAACAAGGCUCUGCCUUCUUGUUUUCGCUCUCAUGUUACAAGUAUGCCUAUUGUGGUCUCUGAAGUACCACACUGUGCGCAGUUCUAGGUUGGGUUGGUGAUGAUUUCACGGUUUAGAAUGGCUCCCUUGCCAAAGGCUGAAGUACUGUCCAGUGUUCUGGUCAGCCUCUUCUUUUGUGGUUUCUCUGUUUUACAUCAAACUGAAAAGAUUCCCCUUCCCCUGCUGCGAUCACAAAAGAAACUCUCCUAUGGUUUCUUCUGGUACAUCCAUGGUGUCACUUUCUUAUAUUUAAAUCUUCUAUCCAUCUGGAAUUUAUUUUUGGGUAAGUUGUGAGGUAAGGAUCUAACUUUAUUCUUUUCCAGGUGGCUACCCAUUUAUCCCAAUGAAAUGUACUGAAUAAUUCAUAUUUCUCCGCUAAUUUGAAGUGCCCAAUUUCCUUGUUACUUAUCUCAGUCUAAACUUUUUAACAAUCAACCCUCAAUAUAUAAGAAUUAUAUUGUUUAUAAAAUAAAAUACUUCUUAUAUAAUAAAAAAGAGACUAAAGAUUUUUCACUGAUUUAAACAAACUGAUUUUAUAAAAUUAAUGACUAUAUGCUAAUGACAGGAUGCAAAAAGUAGAGAAGUAUUAAUGAGUAGUAUGCAAUAAUAGAGAAUUUAUAUAAAAUUAAGUUAAUUUUCUCACCCACUCUCCUCACAUACUGUCCCUUUCACACAGGUGGAUACUGUUAACAACCUGGUGUUUAUUCUACCAAAUCUUGUUUAAAAAAUGCACCCAUACAAACACAUACACAUACAUGUGUGUACAUUUGUGUAUAUCUUAAUUCUGGUCUUCAUUGGACUUUUCUUAGAGAUCUUUCCAUAUCUGCACAAAUAGAUUUUUGUUGUUUGGUUGCUGAGUCAUAUCUGACUCUGCAACACCAGGGACUGUAGGCCGCCAGGCUCCUCUGACCAUGGGAUUCUCCAGGCAAGAAUACUAGAGUGGGUUGCCAUUUCCUUUUCAGGGGAUCUUCCUGACCCAGGAAUCAAACUUAUAUCUUCUGCAUUGGCAGGCUGAUUCUUUACCACUGAGCCACCUGGGAAGCCCUGCACAAAUAGAUACACCUCACUCCGUAACAGCUGUACCAUGGGCCUUGUUGGGGCUGUAUCAUAGUAAGACCACCCCAAAUGACAGGCAGGGAAGUUAAUUCCAGCUUUUCUCACCUAGCAGGUAGUGUUACAAUAAGCACUGUGUGUCUACACCUUUGACCAUGUGCGACUGUUUCCAAGUGGCAGCCUCUUGCUAGGGGAGUUGCUAGUGAAUGAGCUUAACACCUGACAUUUAGACAGCGCCAGACCAACUUCCAGAACAUUGCAGGAAAAUGUCCAUUUCUGUAUGCUCUUAGCAACACUGGUGCCCUUUUAAAAAAUUUUGCCUAAAUGUAGGCAAAAAAUGGACUGUUGUUCUUCAAGUGGUUGGUGGGAUUGAGCAUCAUGUCAUCUUACAGACUAUCCCUUUCCUGUACAUAGAUGAGGUGUGUUUGAAACUGUAAUGCUGGGAGAAGUCUGAGUACCUUACUCACUAAGAACAGUGUGCCCCUAGUCAGAACACCGGGAAUACCGGCAGUGCUGUGGACACGUGGAGCUGAAGCCUGGGGGACUGAGGAACAGAAGUGCUGUGUGUAGGUGGGUCCCCAGGUGGGGCUCCAGACAAUGAACUGUGCUCAGAAGUCAUGGGUUUCAGACCCACUUGUGGGGCUUCAGGCCUGCCCUGCACCGCCCCUCUGCGCCUCAGCGUCCUCAGCUGUAAAACACCUCGUACCCAGGGUCCCGCCGCCUCCUACCUGUGCUCUCGGUGAAGUUCCCCAGGCUGAGGAUGUCGUUGAGCUCUUGGUAGUGGUUCUGUUUAAUGUAGGUGGUCUUUUCUGGCGUGUCCUGCAGCUGCAUGGUGACCUCCUCCAAGUCUUUGUCCAGCUAGAAGACACAGGCUCCAGCUGAGUGAGAGCUCCUGCCCUGGCCCCAAGUAGGAAACUCAGUUUUCCCAACUCAUUGCUCUAAUCUGGGGGCUCACAAAUCUCUUAAGAACUCCUGUUAAAGAAUGUCUUGAGUCGGGCAUCACUGGACCGCAUAGCCUGGGCCAGGUGGGCAAUAAACUCCUGUCAGAUUCUGUGUAGUUUCUGUUCCCCCAGUUCUUGCUGCAGCCACAGUGACAGGAGAUGGGGCUGCGGCAUCACGACGUGGUGAUGCUCUGGGGGAUGUGGGGGGAAGCGGCAGCCCGGGGAGUCCCUGCCCGAGGCAGAAGGGCCCGGGUGGGAGGACGGGGCCCUGAGACCCGCCCUGUGGGAGGUACCUCUGUGAUCUUCAUGCGCAGGCGAUGGUUUUCUGACUGCAGGCCCUCCAGGCGGGAUGUGCUUGCUUGGUUCACGCUGGUGACUGAGGUGGAGGUUUUAGAAUCUUCUUUCUUCUGAUUCUGAGUGAAUUGGAAUCGUCUGUUCUGAGUGGCUGCGUCUGGGUUUGUUCUCAGAGUGAUGAGCUGCAAGGACAGAGGAGGGCUGAAAACAGGACUCUGGGGUCUACACUCCCCCCUGUCCCUCCAGCUGCUUCCAGGGGCCCUGUCCAGAGGCAGCAGGGGACCCUGGGGACCACGCAGCCUGGGCGUCGGGAGCCCAGGCUCAGCCUUUCUCUGUCCUUUUGUCUGGUGUGUGCCCUUGGGCAGGGCCUUCCUCUUGCUAAGUCUUGGGUUUUUUCCUUGCUCCUAGAUGUCUGGUCUCCUGACCCUGAUUCCAUGAGAAUCCCAGCCAUCCUGCAGAGCCCACCCAAUGCCCCUUAGCCUCACUCCAACUGAGCCUCAUUCCACCUUAGGCCUUACUCCACACAGAAAAUAAAAACAGCUGUAGGCGACAGCUGUGAAGACAGUGCGCAGGCUUGUGCUUGUCAGAACCAGGGCCACAGCCUCUGUUCGCCAGGACCUCACGGUUCAGAGGCAAGGAGCAGGGAUGGAGAAGGGAUCUUCCCCAGGCCAGAGUGCUCGCCAUGCUGCUCUGGGCCUGGGCUCAGAUCCAGGGAGGGUCUGUGCAAGGAUGGUGAGGAUGAAGGAAGUCUGGGGAGAAGGGAUGGCAUGUGUGAGCACCGGAGGCCUGGGGCUCAGGCGCUUAUAGAGAAGGGCGGCUGUGUGGGGACAGGGCUCUCUGGCAGAGACAAGGAGAUCGAUGGUCCUGGAAGGCAGGCCCGUGGUGGGGACCCAGUCCUGGAGCCAGGAGCGCAGUGAAGAGCUAGAGAGGGUGAAAAAGCAGAGUGACCCGAUAAGAGCUGGGCUUAGACUCAUCUGGCAUCUUCCACAGGGUGGAGAGGAAGUCAGCGUGCAGGUGAAGAAGCUGUGGCAUUAACCUGGAGCCUGGGAAGGUGUUGCCAGCUAAAGGAAGGAGUGUGUGCCAGAGGCCUUCUGGAACAGAGCCGACGCUGCCUACGCUCGAGGCUGAGGAGCUGGGGGACCCCCAGUGGUCUCCCUCCCCCUUUUCUAAGGCAGAUACUCCCUAACUCGGCUCUAUCACUGAAGACGUUUGGGCGUCCAACAGCUGCGUGAGCCAGUUAACAUCAUCCCAAGGGCCUACACUAUCUCACAGGGCUUCUAUCCAGAUGAAAUGAGAGGAUGGAUGUGAAAGCAUUUCAUAAACUGAAUGGGAACCAGAAGCCCAGGAAGCAGAUACUGAGAGAGGGAAGGAAACCACACUGCUGAAAGCCGGCUUCACUCUGGCUCCUUCAGUCCUACAGCCGGAGAGCCGCAGAGCGCUGGAGCCAGGAGGAAACUUCCAGACUUCUCCGGGGCCGGCUGCUUAUCUCAGCAGCAGCAGCCCCACAUCUCCGAGGCAGCAAAGCUCUAAGCUGUCACUUCAAGAUGGGGAAACAGGCCCAGAAAAGGACUCCUGGCAGGGGGGUGACUGACUGGAGACACAGGCGCAGGUGUCCUGACCCUGAUCCCGUGCCCUUUGCUGUGCAGCCUCGGGGCUGCCCUAGCGUUCGCUGGAAUGUACCGUUCCCAGGCGCCAGUCGUGGCCAGGAGCCAGGAAUUUUAUACCCAUGUUACAGGUGAGGACACGGAGGCUCAAAGAAGACGAGAGACUUGCUUAUGGUGACAGAGCAAGUCAGAGGCAAAGCCAAGCCAGACGUCUGUCCUACAGAGCAAGUGGGGGCAGCUCAGCGUCUGUGGCUGGCCUCUGGUCCCCUUCCCGUGGAUACAGGCCAGCGGGGGUGCCCUGCUCGCUGUAGGCCUUUGUCUCAGGCCUCUGGGGCAAGCUCAGAGCAGAACUCCCAAGUGUUGCUGCUGAACGCAAAGCCAAGCGGUGCUUGACAGGGUUGGGGGCUCCCCCAAGGCACUCUGCCAACGGGUAAUGGUGCCGCUGCUCCGCCUGACUUCACGGUCCGCGGCGCCCUCCCGGCACAGGGGCAGGGCGUCAAACGCUGUUCAGCGGGCCCGGCUGUGCUGGGCAGUGAGAGACCAGGGCCCACACCGGCACUUCCGCAGAGGAAACGAUGACCCAGUGCUGGGGACGGGGAGGUCCCGCACUGCCCAGGAGAGAUCAGCAGGCCACGGCGGGGCCCUGGCUGGGCAGCCCUCCUCCGCCCGGGAGCAGAGGGCCACUCGUGCCCCUCGGGCGUGUGCAGGGCGGCGGGUGUGUGGAACUUCACCUCGACAGCAUUUAGCGUUGUCAGAUUUCAUAGUCAGUGUUUAAACCUCAGGUGAUGUCACCCAGCACCCAGAUUUCUGGCCUCUUUUGGAAAUGAGGGCUCAGCGGCACAGGGCCGCGCACGCGUCACUGCUCCUGAGCUGGGCCCGUCUCCGCCCUCCCGUAUCCUGGCCAGCGCGGCUCCAGUGUUCGGUACAGAAUCAAAUAAAUGCUUGGAAGGGCUUAUGAUUCUAAGAGCAUAUUUGAA
Molecule: RNA transcript, 6101 nt
Organism: Cervus elaphus (red deer)
Lineage: Eukaryota; Metazoa; Chordata; Mammalia; Artiodactyla; Cervidae
Exons: 8
Source: RefSeq, a predicted model, not a curated record